GACAGAGGGUGCAAACGUUGUUCGGAAUUACUGGGCGUAAAGCGAGUGUAGGCGGUGUGGUAAGUCGGAUGUGAAAGCCCCCGGGCUCAACCCGGGAAGUGCACUCGAUACUGCCACGCUAGAGUAUCGGAGAGGUUGGUGGAAUUCUCGGUGUAGAGGUGAAAUUCGUAGAUAUCGAGAGGAACACCGGUGGCGAAGGCGGCCAACUGGACGAAUACUGACGCUGAGACUCGAAAGCGUGGGGAGCAAACAGG
This 254-nucleotide ribosomal RNA is filed under the name uncultured bacterium. RNAcentral's name for it is "partial 16S ribosomal RNA". It matches the Rfam family "Bacterial small subunit ribosomal RNA", at positions 524 to 776 of the family's 1533-position model. The record is from RNAcentral.